Molecule: long non-coding RNA, 1224 nt
Filed under: Anas platyrhynchos platyrhynchos (common mallard)
Lineage: Eukaryota; Metazoa; Chordata; Aves; Anseriformes; Anatidae
Description: lncRNA (ENSAPLG00000023836.1)
Source: RNAcentral
AUGCAGCCAAGUGCGAGAAGCCUGCUCUCCUCACCUGCCUCGUGUCCCUGCCCACAAAAACGUGUGCGAGGAGGGAACGACGAGCUUUUCACAUUUCACCGCUCUAUGCUUCAGGAAGAACCAGCGCAAUGUCUCCCCUUUAGUGGGAAACGAUGCACGCCACCAAUUCACCCAGCGCGAUUUGCAGUGCUGAGCUGGCCUCGAAAUCCUCCCCUUGUCAUCCCACAAGGAAGUCAGCCUGCUACCUGGGAAACGCCAGCCAACAGAUCCCAGCCCCGUGCUCCCACCGGCUGCUCUCAGCUCCCACCCCUGCAGCAGGGACCUGCGGCCAGGAGCCUGGGGCUGCCCUCCCAGCAGCGACCCCCAGCCCAGCAGAGCCCCCGGCCGCCCUCCCCAGCACCCGGCCUUCCCCUGCCCCACUCCCCACCUCCUGCUGCCGUGGAUGCAGCCCAGGGGCUGCCACAGCCGCCUCCUUUUUUUUCCCUUUCGGCUUCCCCCGCCUGGCAAACCCUUUUUUUCUGCCCACCUGGGCGAGGAGCGAGGGGGGGGCGCCCCGCUGCCCACCCUGGGGGUGCCGCACCCCAGCUCCCCUCAACCAAGGAGCUGUGGGGAGCCCCCCCCUCCCUCCCCUCCCUUCCCCCUCCUCGCCGGGGGGGCCGAGGCGCAUCCAGCCCCGUCCUCGCCCUCCCCGCGGCGGGCAGCGCCCCCUGCCCUUCCCCUCACCUGGCAGCGCCCAGGCCCCGGGGCCAGGCCCCGUUCUCCCCCUCCAAACUUUGCGGGCGCCGCAUCCCUGCCCCUCACCCCCGGCAGCGGCCCGGCCCCCCCCUUUCUCCCUCCCCUCCUCCCUCCCGGCGGCGGCCCCGGGCCGGGCCGGGCCGUGCCGGCCGAGGGGCGGAAGCAGGGGCAGAGCCGUGCGGGGAGCAGGCCGCGCCGAGCCUCCCGGCAGCAGCAGCAACAGCAGCAGGAGGAGGAGGAGGAGGAGGAAGGAGGGGCCGGGGCCGCCGCCGGGGCCGGGGCCGGGGCCGGUGCGCCCGGAGCGCGGCCUGCUCGGCGGGGCGCAGCCCGGCCCCUCUCGCACGUACUCACCGCCGGGUUCGCCAUUACGCCAAGGCGGCGGCGGCGGCGCCCGGAGCCUCCCCCGCUGCCCGGCACGCACGGGCGGCCGCGGGGGGAGGGAGCGGAGCGGAGCGGGGCGGCGGGGGAUGCCCCGCGCCUGCCCCUCCU